CAGAGAAUAGUUUAUAAAAAUAAUAAUUUUGGAGAUUAUAGAUAAAAUAUUAAAUUUUUUCUUUGA
Molecule: transfer RNA, 66 nt
Filed under: Wormaldia spinosa
Lineage: Eukaryota; Metazoa; Arthropoda; Insecta; Trichoptera; Philopotamidae
Description: tRNA-Pro
Source: RNAcentral